RNAcentral lists this ribosomal RNA (474 nucleotides) under uncultured soil bacterium. RNAcentral describes it as "bacterial SSU rRNA". It matches the Rfam family "Bacterial small subunit ribosomal RNA", at positions 26 to 518 of the family's 1533-position model. The record is from RNAcentral.
AGGACGAACGCUGGCGGCGUGCUUAACACAUGCAAGUCGAGCGAGGUCCUGCCUUCGGGUGGGUGUCCUAGCGGCGAACGGGUGAGUAACACGUGGGCAACCUGCCCUCAGCUCUGGGAUAACUCCAAGAAAUUGGGGCUAAUACCGGAUAUGACCGCUGACCGCAUGGUCUGGUGGUGGAAAGAUUUAUCGGCUGGGGGAUGGGCCCGCGGCCUAUCAGCUUGUUGGUGGGGUAGUGGCCUACCAAGGCGACGACGGGUAGCCGGCCUGAGAGGGUGACCGGCCACACUGGGACUGAGACACGGCCCAGACUCCUACGGGAGGCAGCAGUGGGGAAUAUUGCGCAAUGGGCGAAAGCCUGACGCAGCGACGCCGCGUGGGAUGACGGCUCGGUUGUAACCUCUUCAGUAGGACGAAGCGCAAGUGACGGUACCUACGAGAAGAAGCGACCGCCAACUACGUGCCAGCAGCCGC